Molecule: long non-coding RNA, 141 nt
Filed under: Bos grunniens (domestic yak)
Lineage: Eukaryota; Metazoa; Chordata; Mammalia; Artiodactyla; Bovidae
Description: lncRNA (ENSBGRG00000013786.1)
Source: RNAcentral
UAAACAGGAGUGGAACUGCCAAAGCUGCCCUGGACUGGCCUGAUUCCACAGGAUUUGGGGGCAUUAAGUUUAAAAAGUAAUAGAAGGGGCUUCCCUGGUGGCUCAGUGGUAAAGAAUCCGCCUGCCAAUGCAGAAGACACU